RNAcentral lists this ribosomal RNA (280 nucleotides) under Fusicatenibacter saccharivorans. RNAcentral's name for it is "partial 16S ribosomal RNA". It matches the Rfam family "Bacterial small subunit ribosomal RNA", at positions 497 to 776 of the family's 1533-position model. Lineage: Bacteria; Bacillati; Bacillota; Clostridia; Lachnospirales; Lachnospiraceae. The record is from RNAcentral.
UAUGGUGUGUGCCAGCCGCCGCGGUAAUACGUAGGGGGCAAGCGUUAUCCGGAUUUACUGGGUGUAAAGGGAGCGUAGACGGCAAGGCAAGUCUGAUGUGAAAACCCAGGGCUUAACCCUGGGACUGCAUUGGAAACUGUCUGGCUCGAGUGCCGGAGAGGUAAGCGGAAUUCCUAGUGUAGCGGUGAAAUGCGUAGAUAUUAGGAAGAACACCAGUGGCGAAGGCGGCUUACUGGACGGUAACUGACGUUGAGGCUCGAAAGCGUGGGGAGCAAACAGG